This 585-nucleotide long non-coding RNA is filed under the name Rattus norvegicus (Norway rat). RNAcentral's name for it is "long non-coding RNA NONRATT030043". Lineage: Eukaryota; Metazoa; Chordata; Mammalia; Rodentia; Muridae. The record is from RNAcentral.
UCCCUUCUCUGUGUGUGCUGUGCACACAGACCUGGAACACAUCCUGGUGUAGCCCUCUCAACCCUAACAGAGCGGGAGAACUUUCCAGAGGUGUGGAUGGAGACUUGGGGGAACUGUCUGAUGUGGGAGCUGCUCAGCGCUGGUCUGGAUGCAGUCUCACAGAAACCAAGAGGAGCGCUCACCCAGUCUCUCCAUGUCCCUUCCGGGUUUUUCUUAAUGACGGGCUCAAGACGUUUGAGAAGGAUCUGACAGGCAUUCUAGCAGAAAUCAACAAGAAAGCCUUGUGGUUAGGACUUGUGGCCAAGGAUCGUCAGCGACCACAGGUUAGCAAGUGCUUCCUUGCUCCUUAUAUUUUGGGAACAAAAGAUAGCACACAGCUGGGCCCUUGAGGUUAGCAUCAACUGGGACUUGCUCUCCCCAUCUUGCUUCACUUCUUAUGAAAAUAAACCAGACCUCUGCUCUCAGAUCCUCUUUGAUAGAUCGUCCGGCUUUACCUCCCUCUUUUCUUUAACUACAUCUUUGAACUUUACUUUGUGCUUUCCAGUUAUUAAAAUAAAUGGAAUAAACAUUGUAUUUUCAUUCAAA